AUAAGCCAGCAGCCUCACAAGAUGAACUAUCUUAAUUUCUCGGUGCAUGGAAAUUGUCGUUGACAGUAGGCCGAUUGUGAACAGGGGCGGAGCCAGUGUGUCCGGGGCACAUAACCCCUGUCCUGGCCCGCCCAUUACUAUAUGUAGUGAUUUUCAUUUCCCAUUCUUUUUCUUUUUUAAUUCUUCAUCAGAUUCCCUUUCUUCAUUUUCCCACUGAUUUUCCUCAGAUUUGGCCCAUUGCCUCUCUUCUCUCUCCUCCUUUUCUUUUAUUUCAUUUUUUAAUGAACCUCUAUUUUCAUCAAUGAUGGUGAUUUCUUUUAUAGUGUUUAUAAAUAUUUUGUAUAAGAUUUUUAUUGAUUUCGGGGUGGGUUCCGUGCAGGAAAUGACUAAUUGGUUUUUGGGAGCGUAAAACAUAUAUUAUUAUCCCACAAUUCAAAAUCAAAGAUCUAAGACCAGGUGUGGACCAAUGAAGGGAUAGGUUUUUCAUUGUAGUGAACCCAUGUUGGAGAUGAGCCCAUUAACCCAACAUCCCCACAAGGUUUGGGAAAAGAAGUGGCGGACGUCAAUCCACCCCAGCCUUAGUUUGGAGUAGAAAAAUGUUUCUUCUUACUAUCGUUUGUAAUUGGGCAUAAUUUUGUAAAGUGUUGACUCAAAAUGUAGUAUUUUGCAACAUGUAAAGUAUUCAAAUUCAUUUUAUGUAUGGCCACUAGGGAAAUGUAAUUAAGUUAACUA
Molecule: long non-coding RNA, 732 nt
Organism: Cornus florida
Lineage: Eukaryota; Viridiplantae; Streptophyta; Magnoliopsida; Cornales; Cornaceae
Exons: 3
Source: RefSeq, a predicted model, not a curated record